This 842-nucleotide ribosomal RNA is filed under the name uncultured Sebacinales. RNAcentral's name for it is "eukaryotic LSU rRNA". The stretch from base 159 to 842 matches the Rfam family "Eukaryotic large subunit ribosomal RNA", at positions 1 to 663 of the family's 3401-position model. The record is from RNAcentral. Lineage: Eukaryota; Fungi; Basidiomycota; Agaricomycetes; Sebacinales.
GUGGAUAUCCACGACUCGUCUGAAAUGCUUGAGUGUACCCUGCUUUGCGGCGUAUUCGGUGUGAUACAUCUUCACCGGAGUUGAUCCUUUUGGGUCGCGUCUAUACAAGUGUGGCUCUAUGCUUCCAACCGUCUUCCAGGAGACAAUGUUUGACAAUUUGACCUCAAAUCGGGUGGGACUACCCGCUGAACUUAAGCAUAUCAAUAAGCGGAGGAAAAGAAACUAACAAGGAUUCCCCUAGUAACGGCGAGUGAAGAGGGAAAAGCUCAAAUUUUGAAUCUGGUGUCUUUGAUGCCCGAGUUGUAAUCUAGAGAAGUGUUUUCCGUGUCGGACCGUGCACAAGUUCCCUGGAACGGGGCGUCAUAGAGGGUGAGAAUCCCGUAUAUGGCACGGACUGCCGAUGCUUUGUGAUACACUCUCAACGAGUCGAGUUGUUUGGGAAUGCAGCUCAAAAUGGGUGGUAAAUUCCAUCUAAAGCUAAAUAUUGGCGAGAGACCGAUAGCGAACAAGUACCGUGAGGGAAAGAUGAAAAGCACUUUGGAAAGAGAGUGAAACAGUACGUGAAAUUGUUGAAAGGGAAGCGUUUGAAGUCAGUCGUAUCUGGCGGGAUUCAGCCUGGCUUUUGCCGGGUGUACUUUCCGUCCGAUGGGUCAGCAUCAAUUUCGAUGGGGGGAAAAAGGCGUGGGGAAUGUGGCUGUCUUCGGGCAGUGUUAUAGCCCCGCGUUGUAUGCCUCUGUUGGGAUUGAGGAACGCAGCGCGCCUAUAGGCCAGGGGCUACCCGCCUCUUGACACGCGCUUAGGAUGCUGGCAUAAUGGCUUUAAGCGACCCGUCUUGAAACACG